AUGUCCUGCGAGGAGAGAAGACGCGGGUGGCCGCGUUGCGGGGGUUACAGUUCUCCGAGAAAAUUUUGUCACCUGUUUUCAGCAAGGGCAGUCACCAUCGCUGCCAGAACAAAAAGACCAAUGGGUCUCCUGUCCAGAUUGAGGAGGACUCAUUCUGAGGAGGCUGAUUCUGAAACAUUCAGAUGGAGGAGGGAGCUGGUGAAAGCAGCUGAGAUGAUGCUGGCCUAGUGUCAUUAGAAUCCUUGCUUAGACAGAUCUUGUGGUAAGUGUUAAAAGACUGACUGAUUUCUCUCUUAAGACUCAGGUCUAGGCCAUAUUGGCUUAAGGCCCUUCAUACUUAUACCUUUCUCUCUCUCUCUCUCUUUCUUUGAUUAAUCAUUGUAUUAUUAAUUAAAAUUCUCUAUAAAACCCAGAUGGCUUGGGCAUAUUCAUAAAGCACCAUCCCAGGCUGCCAAUGUGCAUUUCUAUGCGCUGCUAGAAAUCUAUUCUUACACUUAGUGGAAGUUUGAUUUUUAUUGCAUUCCCAUUGUGAUCUCCUUAAAUCCUUGCAGCCUUGCAAAUGGACAGCAUUCAAACUUCCCUUGCUACAGGACUCCCCAGAUGUGUAGGACUUAAGGACUUUGGGG
Molecule: long non-coding RNA, 626 nt
Filed under: Monodelphis domestica (gray short-tailed opossum)
Lineage: Eukaryota; Metazoa; Chordata; Mammalia; Didelphimorphia; Didelphidae
Description: lncRNA (ENSMODG00000050178.1)
Source: RNAcentral